GGGGCUUUUAGAGCCGACGCUACUUAAAACCAUCGCGAACUCGUCCAAGUUGCUUCGGCGGCGCGGCCCCCCUCACGGGGGCGCCGCAGCCCCGCCUCUCCGGAGGUGUGGGGCGCCCGCCGGAGGUACGAAACUCUGUAUUAUAGUGGCAUCUCUGAGUAAAAAACAAAUAAGUUAAAACUUUCAACAACGGAUCUCUUGGUUCUGGCAUCGAUGAAGAACGCAGCGAAAUGCGAUAAGUAAUGUGAAUUGCAGAAUUCAGUGAAUCAUCGAAUCUUUGAACGCACAUUGCGCCCGCUAGUACUCUAGCGGGCAUGCCUGUUCGAGCGUCAUUUCAACCCUCAAGCCCUGCUUGGUGUUGGGGCCCUACGGCUGCCGUAGGCCCUGAAAGGAAGUGGCGGGCUCGCUACAACUCCGAGCGUAGUAAUUCAUUAUCUCGCUAGGGACGUUGCGGCGCGCUCCUGCCGUUAAAGACCAUCUUUAACUCAAGGUUGACCUCGGAUCAGGUAGGAAUACCCGCUGAACUUAAGCAUAUCAAUAAGCGGAGGAA
This 550-nucleotide ribosomal RNA is filed under the name Coniochaeta sp. SL4-ML19. Its description in RNAcentral is "eukaryotic LSU rRNA". The stretch from base 179 to 332 matches the Rfam family "5.8S ribosomal RNA". Lineage: Eukaryota; Fungi; Ascomycota; Sordariomycetes; Coniochaetales; Coniochaetaceae. The record is from RNAcentral.